CACGGUUCUCCCUGUCUUAAGCUUUUUAAAAGGACCAGUGAAGGCAUAACCAGAAAUCAUUGAAGCUACUUAUAAUUAUAUCUCUUUGAAUUUCAUCUUUUGCCUAUCCCCCCCCCCCCCCCCCUCUCCUCUCACCUCUGUUGAUAACAGGUAAAGAAGUUGUUAAGCAUGGGGAACGGGGAAUCAACUUUUGAUGAUCAUCAAUAUGAUUUUCAGCAACAAUCCCCUUCUUACUCGGAAAGAUCGAUUGACGAUAACUAUCAACCUAGGCAGCAUCCGGCUUAUAUAGCUGAUAAUUUCAACUCGAUAGACGAUAACUAUCAACCUAGGCAGCAUCCGGCUUAUAUAGCUGAUAAUUUCAACUCGUUGGAUCAGGUUAUUUCUUCCCUGAGAGAAGCUGGUCUUGAAUCAUCCAAUCUAAUACUUGGUAUUGAUUUCACCAAGAGUAAUGAGUGGACAGGUAGGCAUUCAUUUCACCGGAAAAGCCUCCAUGCAAUCGGUAGCACACUGAAUCCCUAUGAGCAAGCCAUCUCUAUCAUUGGCCGUACUCUGUCUCCUUUUGAUGAAGAUAACUUGAUACCUUGUUUUGGAUUUGGCGAUGCAUCAACACAUGAUAAGCAUGUAUUCAGCUUUUAUCCUGAUAAUCGACCUUGUAAUGGUCUUGAGGAAGCUCUUACACGAUACAGAGAGAUUGUUCCACACUUGAAGUUGUCAGGUCCAACUUCAUUUGCUCCAAUCAUUGAUGCAGCGAUUGACAUUGUGGAGAAAAGUGGUGGACAGUAUCAUGUUCUCGUUGUUAUUGCAGAUGGACAGGUUACCCGGGGUCCUGAUACUCCUCCAGGAAGGUUCAGUCCUCAAGAACAUGCAACUGUAAACUCCAUAGUUGCUGCUAGUAAGUAUCCUAUCUCAAUUAUAUUGGUUGGAGUGGGGGAUGGACCGUGGGAUGCUAUGCAGCAAUUUGAUGAUAACAUUCCUCAACGCGCGUUUGACAACUUUCAGUUUGUGAACUUCACAAAAAUAAUGUCAGACAACACCGAAGCAUCAAAGAAAGAAACAGCCUUUGCACUUGCUGCCCUCAUGGAAAUUCCACUUCAGUACAGAGCCACACAAACUCUUCAGCGUGCAAACUACAAUUCAGUUGGUGGUCCACACACAAGGCUACUUCCACCUCCUCGUGAAGUGAUUGAUCAUGAUAAUGCAGUCAAAUCAAUCCCGCACAUGACAAACUUCAAACCAGUUCAACCAACCGCUCCAACAGCUUCAGUGGAACCGGUCUGCCCCAUUUGCUUGGCAAACCCGAAAGACCUGGCUUUCGGAUGCGGUCAUAUGACUUGCAGGGAUUGUGGAGCAAGCAUUUCAGCCUGCCCUCUAUGUCGACAGCCCAUAACAACACGUCUGAGAUUGUUUACUUGAGCCAAACAAGACUCCCUGCGCUCUGUUUACUCCAGAGAGAAUGGCAAAGCUUCCACGACAGGGUGAGCCUAGUCUUUUGAUUGGGCUUGAAUUGGAAAGGCGUAGUAUUAAAGAACUUGGAUGGUAGCUGUAGAAGUAGAACAGCCUCUAGGCCCUAAACAAAAGAUGAAGAACAAGGAGAGCUAAGAAGAUGUCCCUUGAGGAUUGACCUAUACAAACACAUCGGGCGUUUGCCUUUCUCGCAGAAGAACAAUCAUUUAUCAUUCAUGGAAUCUGAACUUUACUACAAUAUUGUAAUUUUGGAGCAAAUAAUUUGUUUGCAGAUUUGAAAUAAACCCAUCCUAGUUUGUAUGA
Molecule: RNA transcript, 1767 nt
Organism: Populus trichocarpa (black cottonwood)
Lineage: Eukaryota; Viridiplantae; Streptophyta; Magnoliopsida; Malpighiales; Salicaceae
Gene name: E3 ubiquitin-protein ligase RGLG3
Exons: 13
Source: RefSeq, a predicted model, not a curated record